RNAcentral lists this ribosomal RNA (301 nucleotides) under uncultured bacterium. Its description in RNAcentral is "partial 16S ribosomal RNA". It matches the Rfam family "Bacterial small subunit ribosomal RNA", at positions 509 to 807 of the family's 1533-position model. The record is from RNAcentral.
CAGCAGCCGCGGGAAUACGAAGGGUGCAAGCGUUACUCGGAAUUACUGGGCGUAAAGCGUGCGUAGGUGGUGGUUUAAGUCCGUUGUGAAAGCCCUGGGCUCAACCUGGGAAUUGCAGUGGAUACUGGGUCACUAGAGUGUGGUAGAGGAUAGUGGAAUUUCCGGUGUAGCAGUGAAAUGCGUAGAGAUCGGAAGGAACAUCUGUGGCGAAGGCGACUAUCUGGGCCAACACUGACACUGAGGCACGAAAGCGUGGGGACCAAACAGGAUUAGAUACCCCAGUAGUCCCUGUCUCUUAUAC